GCAGCGCCCAGCGGGGCACCAGGGCUGGCUCUGCCCAAGGACGUGGGCUGGGCACGGGGCUUGGCACUUGGAGGGGGUGCAUUAGGCCAGGGUUGGGUUCUUUGCAUCAGCAAGGCAAACCACAAGCCUGGGUUGUGCUGGGACUUCAGAGCUCGGGGCCGUGAGAAGAUGUCAUCCCCACACCCAGGGCCUCAUGGAGGGCCGCCGCCGCCACAUCCCGGGCCUGGGCACCCACCCGCACCGCACAGUCCUCCAGGGCAUCACCACCCACCCGGCCAUCACCCGCCCGGCCAUCACCCGCCCGGCCAUCACCCACCCGGCCAUCACCCACCCGGCCAUCACCCACCCGGGCACCACCCGCCGGGCCCCC
Molecule: long non-coding RNA, 370 nt
Filed under: Gallus gallus (chicken)
Lineage: Eukaryota; Metazoa; Chordata; Aves; Galliformes; Phasianidae
Description: lncRNA (ENSGALG00010015420.1)
Source: RNAcentral